Molecule: ribosomal RNA, 485 nt
Filed under: uncultured bacterium
Lineage: Bacteria
Description: bacterial SSU rRNA
Rfam family: Bacterial small subunit ribosomal RNA
Source: RNAcentral
AUUGAACGCUGGCGGCAUGCCUUACACAUGCAAGUCGAACGGCAGCACGGGAGCAAUCCUGGUGGCGAGUGGCGAACGGGUGAGUAAUAUAUCGGAACGUGCCCAGUCGUGGGGGAUAACGUAGCGAAAGCUACGCUAAUACCGCAUACGAUCUAUGGAUGAAAGCGGGGGGAUCGCAAGACCUCGCGCGAUUGGAGCGGCCGAUAUCAGAUUAGGUAGUUGGUGAGGUAAAGGCUCACCAAGCCGACGAUCUGUAGCUGGUCUGAGAGGACGACCAGUCACACUGGAACUGAGACACGGUCCAGACUCCUACGGGAGGCAGCAGUGGGGAAUAUUGGACAAUGGGCGAAAGCCUGAUCCAGCCAUGCCGCGUGUGUGGAGAAGGUCUUCGGAUUGUAAAGCACUUUAAGUUGGGAGGAAGGGUAGUAACCUAAUACGUUGCUACUUUGACGUUACCGACAGAAUAAGCACCGGCUAACUUCGUG